This 255-nucleotide ribosomal RNA is filed under the name Clostridioides sp. ZZV14-6048. Its description in RNAcentral is "partial 16S ribosomal RNA". It matches the Rfam family "Bacterial small subunit ribosomal RNA", at positions 62 to 326 of the family's 1533-position model. The record is from RNAcentral. Lineage: Bacteria; Bacillati; Bacillota; Clostridia; Peptostreptococcales; Peptostreptococcaceae.
UUGAGCGAUUUACUUCGGUAAAGAGCGGCGGACGGGUGAGUAACGCGUGGGUAACCUACCCUGUACACACGGAUAACAUACCGAAAGGUAUGCUAAUACGGGAUAACAUAUUUAAGAGGCAUCUCUUAAAUAUCAAAGGUGAGCCAGUACAGGAUGGACCCGCGUCUGAUUAGCUAGUUGGUAAGGUAACGGCUUACCAAGGCGACGAUCAGUAGCCGACCUGAGAGGGUGAUCGGCCACAUUGGAACUGAGACA